GCUUUGCUUUCCAGCGAGCUAAUCUGCUGACACUUUCCUUCAAAAUUAAUUGUAUUUAGUUGGUCAGGUUCUGAAAAGACAAGGGCGACCUGUUUAUGAGGGCGUGAAGUUUGUCACAGUGGUUGUGCAACUGUGGAGGAAACGCAUCCUAGGUGUGGGGACAGCAGAGCAGCUGACCUUUCAUUUCAACAUACCUGCAGGAAGCCCUAGAAAGCCUGGGCCUGCCACAUGCAAAACUACUUACUGGGAUUCCUUAGAACAAUUCCACUGAAUGGAAAGUGUGACCAGACCACCUGAGUGAUACCUGGCUCAUCCUCCACGUUAGAUGUGCUCACAUAUAUUCAAAAUAAAAAAGUUACAAAACUAGUCAGCACCAGAAGAAAGUAUACGGCUGCACCAGAGGAAUUUUGGACGUUUACCAAUGUUGCUUUUCAGCUGCUUCAUCCCCAUUGCUCUUCUGUCCUACACGUGAGAGGCCAGCACUGGUGGUGUAAAUUCUGCCCUGGGGUCCUACUGCUUGUUCUCCAGGUACCAUGGAUUCAAAGCUGACAGGAUCUGGAGCCAUCCUGAGAAUCACCUGCUGAUCAGCAAGGAGACAGGCACCAAGUAGCUCAGCUCCAACUGAUGUGAUAGCUGUACCCUAUCCAGUCAUCAGUUGAAACCCACUGGAGUUUCAAAGGGCCUGGAGUUGGGUUUAUUAAGCCCAUUAUCAUCAAGGUAUGCUGGAUUAUAUAUAGAAUUCAAAUUUUUCUCUAAUAAGAUACUCUUUAUGUGUCAAGAGUUAUUAAAUAUUUCCAUGUUAUGAGAAGACUGUGAAUGUUUUUGUUUACCAGCACUUUGAUUAGCAGGCUUAUGGGCAGUUGUACGGAUACUACAGGUGAGAUACAGCUUAUUUAUACUAUUUUUAGAAGAGUUUUGAUUGGAUAUUGAAAUGUUUUCAGUUCUGUGAUUUAAAGAAAAUAUUUCUUUUGCUGGACUUCAUACUCACAGGGAAUUAGCAUAAAAUUUUGUUUCAAUAGUAUGAACAAUUAAUUUGGUGAAACAUUACUUUUCACAUCACUGAUUCCUCUGCCAUUUUCCUUAGAAGUGCACCAACUGUUGAACUUAAAAAUAAGCCAUUAACAACUUCAGUAAGUGGAAUCUAUGCCCGUAUGACAACUGAUAGCAAUUUCAGCAUCCUCCUUGUUUUCAAAGAACAUUUCUGAUGUAAAAUAAGACUGUAGAACUCAUAAAGUAUUGGAAAUUCAUUGUAGAGUGUAAUUAUCUGACUUCUAAUAAUUACCAAGAAAUGCGUGUAUGGACUUGAAAUUUAUAUUACUAAUUGAAUAAAUAAGAAC
Molecule: long non-coding RNA, 1337 nt
Filed under: Phasianus colchicus (ring-necked pheasant)
Lineage: Eukaryota; Metazoa; Chordata; Aves; Galliformes; Phasianidae
Description: lncRNA (ENSPCLG00000005789.1)
Source: RNAcentral